Molecule: long non-coding RNA, 586 nt
Organism: Rhodamnia argentea
Lineage: Eukaryota; Viridiplantae; Streptophyta; Magnoliopsida; Myrtales; Myrtaceae
Exons: 2
Source: RefSeq, a predicted model, not a curated record
UUAGAAUAGCUUCGAAGGGGAGAGAGAGAUAGAGAGUACGUAGAAAAAAAAUAGAAGGAAAGAAAGAGAAAGGGAUUUCUUGCAUGCACGCUCAAGGAGUCUCGGUGAGUCAACAAUUAACUCCGUUAGCAACGUCCGUUAGGUGGGCGUACUGAACAGUAGCGAACAGUACACUUCGGGGCUGAGUUUCAUCUGUUUCGGGCUAAUUUGUGAGUGGGUUAAGUUGGGGAUCUUGUAGUACAACGAAAGGUUUUUCUAGACUAUAAGUUUGCUUGAAGCGAAGUUUGAAGGAGGAAGUUAUGGCGCAAACGAUUUUAGCACGCAAGCUAUACGUAGCAGACGAUAAUGGUCUUUCACUAUGGGCGAGGUUUUUGAUGGCUCGUAGAUGUCAUUUUAUCGAUGAACAAGCUUAGUUUAGUCAAGCCGUUUGUUAGAAUCUUGUUUUACUCAGUUUUUGAUAUCCUUUUUCAAUUAUUUGAUAGACAGACAAAUGCGUUGGCUCGACUAACUAUCGUAGGUUGGUUUUCGACUUUCUCAUGUGAGUGGCGCUAUCUCUUCUUCGAAUUUAUAAACUCAUAUUUCGAAG